Non-coding RNA from Danio rerio (zebrafish), 73 nucleotides. The record is from Rfam. Lineage: Eukaryota; Metazoa; Chordata; Actinopteri; Cypriniformes; Danionidae.
GCCUCGUUGUCGCAGUAGGCAGCGCGUCAGUCUAAUAAUCUGAAGGUUGUGAGUUCGAGCCUCACAGGGGGCA